Octopus sinensis (East Asian common octopus) is the source of this 780-nucleotide long non-coding RNA. RefSeq lists it as uncharacterized. The transcript has 2 exons. NCBI's taxonomy places the organism in Eukaryota, Metazoa, Mollusca, Cephalopoda, Octopoda, Octopodidae. The record is from RefSeq and is a predicted model, not a curated record.
AGGUAGGUAGAUAGGUAGGUAGGUAGAUAGAUAGGUAGGCAGGUGGGUAGGUAGAUAGAUAGAUACACAGACAGAAAGAUAUUAGGUUGAUGAUGCUACCAUACUUAUAAAGUUUAUCUCAAACAACUGUAUCACUUUGUCCAACAAUAAAUCAAUUCUCGUUAUUCAAGAGAUUUGCCUUUCUGCUUAGGAUUUUAUCUAAAAUCACACAAAGACUGCCUUAUGAAAUAUUUGUCUUUGAAACAUUUAUUUUCGCUGGAUUUUUUUCUUUUUCUUUUUAAAUUUCUAUUUUGGAAGUGCCUUACAGUUUCUGUGAUUAUUCAAGCUAGUUCCUGUUUUAGUUCUUUUUGUUUUUUAAUUUUUUUUGUCAUUAAGUCAUAAAUUAUUUAUUAAUUUUAGUGUCAUAUUCCAAGUAGAAGCUUAGUUGUUGGGUUUUUUAUUAUUAAAGUUUUCAAUGCCAGUCAAAAUGUAAUGAUGUAAUGGCUACGACAGACACAGCCAAGUGCUAGGAGGUUCUUCAAUGAUUACAUAAAAGAAACAGCUACUGACAAACACCCUUCAGUCAGUUAUGCUUCAUUAACCUUUAACCAUUGGACUGUGAUGGGAGUUUUCUAUUUCUUUUGAUAGACAUCCACAUUAGAACAAUACUCUCAAAAUCUAACCAAUUCUCUUGAUUUAACUCUGAGUAUCUGUUGUUCCUAUUUCCCGAUUUCUUAAACAGAAUACACAAUAAUGUAGGGGCUGCAAACCUGGGUACCACUGCCCAUUAUGCAGACAAGA